This 386-nucleotide ribosomal RNA is filed under the name uncultured bacterium. Its description in RNAcentral is "bacterial SSU rRNA". It matches the Rfam family "Bacterial small subunit ribosomal RNA", at positions 28 to 417 of the family's 1533-position model. The record is from RNAcentral.
GACGAACGCUGGCGGCGUGCUUAACACAUGCAAGUCGAGCGGUAAGGCCCUUCGGGGUACACGAGCGGCGAACGGGUGAGUAACACGUGGGUGACCUGCCUUUAGCUCUGGGAUAAGCCUGGGAAACUGGGUCUAAUACCGGAUAUGACCUCAUGACGCAUGUUGUGGGGUGGAAAGCCUUGUGCGGCUAGAGAUGGGCCCGCGGCCUAUCAGCUUGUUGGUGGGGUGANGGCCUACCAGGGCGACGACGGGUAGCCGGCCUGAGAGGGCGACCGGCCACACUGGGACUGAGACACGGCCCAGACUCCUACGGGAGGCAGCAGUGGGGAAUCUUGCGCAAUGGGCGAAAGCCUGACGCAGCGACGUCGCGUGAGGGAUGACGGCCU